GAUGAAUGCUGGCGGCGUGCCUAACACAUGCAAGUCGAACGAAGCACCUUACCUGAUUCUUCGGAUGAAAGUUUGGUGACUGAGUGGCGGACGGGUGAGUAACGCGUGGGUAACCUGCCCUGUACAGGGGGAUAACAGCUGGAAACGGCUGCUAAUACCGCAUAAGCGCACGAGGAGACAUCUCCUUGUGUGAAAAACUCCGGUGGUACAGGAUGAGCCCGCGUCUGAUUAGCUGGUUGGCAGGGUAACGGCCUACCAAGGCAACGAUCAGUAGCCGGUCUGAGAGGAUGAACGGCCACAUUGGAACUGAGACACGGUCCAAACUCCUACGGGAGGCAGCAGUGGGGAAUAUUGCACAAUGGGGGAAACCCUGAUGCAGCAACGCCGCGUGAGUGAAGAAGUAUUUCGGUAUGUAAAGCUCUAUCAGCAGGGAAGAUAAUGACGGUACCUGACGAAGAAGCUCCGGCUAAAUACGUG
RNAcentral lists this ribosomal RNA (477 nucleotides) under uncultured bacterium. RNAcentral describes it as "partial 16S ribosomal RNA". It matches the Rfam family "Bacterial small subunit ribosomal RNA", at positions 28 to 507 of the family's 1533-position model. The record is from RNAcentral.